GUGGGGAAUUUUGGACAAUGGGCGCAAGCCUGAUCCAGCAAUGCCGCGUGCAGGAAGAAGGCCUUCUGGUUGUAAACUGCUUUUGUACGGAACGAAACGGUCCUGGUUAAUACCCGGGGCUAAUGACGGUACCGUAAGAAUAAGCACCGGCUAACUACGUGCCAGCAGCCGCGGUAAUACGUAGGGUGCAAGCGUUAAUCGGAAUUACUGGGCGUAAAGCGUGCGCAGGCGGUGCUGUAAGACAGGCGUGAAAUCCCCGGGCUUAACCUGGGAAUUGCGCUUGUGACUGCAGUGCUGGAGUGCGGCAGAGGGGGAUGGAAUUCCGCGUGUAGCAGUGAAAUGCGUAGAUAUGCGGAGGAACACCGAUGGCGAAGGCAAUCCCCUGGGCCUGCACUGACGCUCAUGCACGAAAGCGUGGGGAGCAAACAGGAUUAGAAACCCGUGUAGUCC
This 450-nucleotide ribosomal RNA is filed under the name uncultured bacterium. Its description in RNAcentral is "partial 16S ribosomal RNA". It matches the Rfam family "Bacterial small subunit ribosomal RNA", at positions 354 to 796 of the family's 1533-position model. The record is from RNAcentral.